RNAcentral lists this ribosomal RNA (459 nucleotides) under uncultured bacterium. RNAcentral's name for it is "bacterial SSU rRNA". It matches the Rfam family "Bacterial small subunit ribosomal RNA", at positions 340 to 789 of the family's 1533-position model. The record is from RNAcentral.
UACGGGAGGCAGCAGUGGGGAAUAUUGCACAAUGGGCGAAAGCCUGAUGCAGCUAUGCCGCGUGUAUGAAGAAGGCCUUAGGGUUGUAAAGUACUUUCAUCGGGGAGGAAAAAACAAAACUAAUAAUUUUAUUUCUUGACGUUACCCGAAAAAGAAGCACCGGCUAACUCCGUGCCAGCAGCCGCGGUAAUACGGAGGGUGCUAGCGUUAAUCAGAAUUACUGGGCGUAAAGAGCACGUAGGUGGUUUUUUUAAGUCAGAUGUGAAAUCCCUGGGCUUAACCUAGGAACUGCAUUUUGAAACUGAAAUACUAGAGUAUCGUAGAGGGAGGUAGAAUUCUAGGUGUAGCGGUGAAAUGCGUAGAUAUCUGGAGGAAUACCUGUGGCGAAAGCGGCCUCCUAAACGAAUACUGACACUGAGGUGCAAAAGCGUGGGGAGCAAACAGGGAUUAGAUACCCGU